This 467-nucleotide ribosomal RNA is filed under the name uncultured bacterium. RNAcentral describes it as "partial 16S ribosomal RNA". It matches the Rfam family "Bacterial small subunit ribosomal RNA", at positions 28 to 507 of the family's 1533-position model. The record is from RNAcentral.
GACGAACGCUGGCGGCGUGCUUAACACAUGCAAGUCGAACGGAAAGGCCCUGCUUUUGUGGGGUGCUCGAGUGGCGAACGGGUGAGUAACACGUGAGUAACCUGCCCUUGACUUUGGGAUAACUUCAGGAAACUGGGGCUAAUACCGGAUAGGAGCUCCUGCUGCAGGGUGGGGGUUGGAAAGUUUGGGCGGUUGGGGAUGGACUCGCGGUUUAUCAGCUGGUUGGUGGGGUAGUGGCUUACCAAGGCUUUGACGGGUAGCCGGCCGGGGGGGGGGACCGGCCACAUGGGGAGUGGGAACCGGCCCAGACCCUACGGGGGGGAAGAGGGGGGGAAAUUUGCCAAAGGGGGGGAGCCCUAGGGAACAACCCCCGGGGGGGGAAUGCCGCCCUUGGGGUUGAAACCCCUUUUCCCCUGUACCGAGCGGGAGGGACGGGAAAUGGGAAAAGAACCCCCGCCAACCUCGUG